AUGGAAGCUUGUAAACUUAGUGGCGGACGGGUGAGUAACACGUGAGCAACCUGCCUAUCAGAGGGGGAUAACGAUUGGAAACGAUCGCUAAUACCGCAUGACACAUAGAUGUCGCAUGGCAUUUAUGUCAAAGAUUUUAUCGCUGAUAGAUGGGCUCGCGUCCGAUUAGAUAGUUGGUGGGGUAACGGCCUACCAAGUCGACGAUCGGUAGCCGGACUGAGAGGUCGAACGGCCACAUUGGGACUGAGACACGGCCCAGACUCC
RNAcentral lists this ribosomal RNA (264 nucleotides) under uncultured Eubacteriales bacterium. RNAcentral's name for it is "uncultured Clostridiales bacterium partial 16S ribosomal RNA". It matches the Rfam family "Bacterial small subunit ribosomal RNA", at positions 76 to 339 of the family's 1533-position model. The record is from RNAcentral. RNAcentral also lists the same sequence under 1 other name. Lineage: Bacteria; Bacillati; Bacillota; Clostridia; Eubacteriales.